UUUUUUUUUUUAAGGCCACACCUGCAGCACACAGAGGCUGACAGGCUAGGAGUCAAAUCAGAGCUGUAGCUGCAGGCCACAGCCACAGCCACAGCCACAGCAACACCAGAUCCAAGCCUCGUCUGCGAACUACACCACAGCUCACGGCAAUGCUGGAUCCUUAACCCACUGACUGAGGCCAGGGACUGAAUCUGUAUGGUCAUGGAUACUAAUCAGAUUCAUUUCCACUAAGCCACGACAGGAACCUCCUAACAUAAUUUUUAAAAUAACUGUUUAGCAAAAUUCCUGAAAAUUUAGCAAUUGCCUCUCACAGGCCUGUACACAUGUUUGGCAAGCCAUGAAGGAACCUGUUUUUCUACAGCAUUAUGGAACCAUGGAGUAGCUGCCCACCUCUAACUCAAUCCCAGGAAGUAGAGAAAUCAGGGGCUCCUGUCACACUGGAACUCACGACUCUUCUUUCUCUGUUAGUUUUGUGCAUCCAUAGAUCUUGUUGCUUUGUGGUGCAGCAUCCUCUGUACAAUAUUUCUCAGAGAAUCCAUUUUCUUCUCCAUGUUUCCUCUGUGGCUCACUUUGGUGUUGUAACUUGUUUGUUUCUAUUUCCCUGUUCCUUUCACUCUCAUUGCAGUCUGGCUGUCCUGCAGGUGUCCCCCUUUCCUUUUUCCAUCAGAUUUUCAGCUGCCAUUUUCUACGGUUUUCACCUAUCUUCCUUCUCUUCUUUUUCUAUCAUAGGAGAGGCUUAUAUUUUUAAAAGGGGCCACAGGAAUCUGUGUCUAUCAAGCCAUGAGGAAACCUACAGCAGACUCAACCUUCUGGGGGAAUUUUAUUCCUAAUUUUCUGAUGUUCAAUGCUGCAUUUUAUUUUUAUUAUUAUUUUUUCUUUUUAUGGCUGCACCUGUGGCAUAUUAAGUGCCCAGGCUAGGGGUUGAAUCAGAGCUGUAGCUGCCAGCCUACCUACAGCCACAGUAACGCCAGAUUUGAGCUGCAUUUGCAACCUACACCACAGCUUAGCAAUGCUGAAUCCUUAACCAACUGAGCAAGUCCAGGGAUCAAACCCACAUCUCCACAGACACUAUGUCAGGUUAUUAAUCCACUGAGCCACAAGAACGCCAAUGCUGCAUUUUAAUGAACUAAACAUUGAGAUGGGGGAACUCUACAGGAUGUAUCUUAAAUGAGAUCCUUAGGUGGCUGACCAUUAAAUGGGAUUCCAUUAGUGAGAAAAACAUAGCAAAGGAGGAACUGGUGGAAAAGGUGACCCCAAGGGAACAUCAAUGACCCCACUAGCCCCUGCACUCCAAGAAUGUGAGCUGAUCUCUGCUCAAUUCAGGGUCCAACAGGAAGUCUCUAUGGACUCUUUGGCCUUAAAAGAGUUGAGGGGGGAUUGAGGGUUGCGGGGCAGGGAGACUAGCUCUCCCAUGUGGUCCCUACACCUAGACCUGCCCUGCUGUUAUUCCUGCCCAUUUUCACACACAGCACUCUGCAGCUGCAACCUUCUCACAGAGCUGCAGGUAGGAAAUGAGAUGCAAUAACCUGGCCUCUUAUCUCCAGCCCUAUGUGGAAAUUUAUCUGUCUACCUCCCCCCACCAUGAGUUCAGCUCAUGAAGGGUCUACACAGCAGUUCGCCUGUGCUCUUUUCUCCUAGUUCCCCGCCUUCCAAAAUGUUAACAACAGACUCUCUAGGAAAAAGGCCCUGGUUUGAGGAUUUGCCAACUUCCAUGGUGAACACAUUUCUAUUUUUUUUUUCUAGUGACACCCAUGGCAUAUGGAAGUUCCCAGGCCAGGGAUCCAAUCUGAACCACAGCUGUGACCUAUGACAUAACUGCACCAACACUGGAUCCUUAACCCACUGUGCCAGGCUGGGGAUCAAACCAGCGCCUCCACAGAGGCAAGCCAGAUCUUUAACCCACUGCACCUUAGUGGGAACUCCCUGAACACACACUUUUACCAUGGUUGAUUUUAAGUUACUGAACAUGGAGUUGAGAAGACAUGCCCAUGGUGGGCUCUCAGGAACUGUAUCCUGAGGUCACUAGUUAUUGAUGGCCCAAGCCCAACUUUCAGAAUUUAAAAUCCUGUCUCAAAAACCCAACUCUUACAACAGAAACCUUGACUUUCAAGACUUUCCUUCUUGCUAUGCAUAUAUCUUAUCUAUUUUAGAACUCAGAGUUAAGACUUUGUCUCUUUGUCAGCUCUCUCCUGAGGGCAGAGCAUCUAGGAUCCUACCCCUCUCUCCCCAGCAGUAUGAGAAAGCCAAUAGGUACAAGAAAGCCUGGAGAAUUAUUAUAUCAAAUCAAUUAUUCAAUCAAAAUAUUAUCCAUUACCCACUUACAACUUUUUUUUAGUGUUUGAAAUUAGCAACUGUACUGCUGAUAGAGACUACACUAAGAAAUUUGUAUCAAACUUGGUAUGAAAUUAAAGGAAAGGCCAGCCACUAAGCCCUCUCUGUGAAUGAAGGAAGGAGGGAGGGAGAGGAGAAGAGAGAAGGGAAACAGAGGGAGGGGAAGUAGGGGACAAGAGAAGAAGAAAAUUCCUAGAGUUACCAAAAAUGUGGUAUUUUUGUUCACAUUUGACACAUCAAUGGUUUCAGUAAAUGUACUUGCUAAGAACAACCAAACCUCAUUUGAAGCUAUCAUUAAGAUGAAGGAAUCAGAGCUCUUGAAGGCAAGGCCCAGGUCCCCAGGGGCCCUCCCUAACCCCCACCAGGGGCUCUGCAGCUCUUAGCCACUGGGGGAAUGGCAGUCAAAGCUCAGUUCUUGUCCCCACUGCCUCCCGCUUCCCUGCUCCUCCUGCUACUUGAGGGCAGAGUUUUGUACUCCACAGUGGGAGAAGCUAGGGUGCAGAUGCUCUGGUCCUUUGACGCCUGACCCUAAGUUCCCACCUGGAAAAUGCAAGGUAGAGAAUCUUAAAUAUCAGGACUAUCUUUUGAUAGCUUGCAAAUUGUUUUCUUUCCCCUCCUCACUCUGACAGAUGGUAGACUGUCUGAGGUACCUCAAAGUGUCUUUCACUUAAAACAGUGAGAAAUCAUUGAAAGUGAAAAGUGACAAAGACAAGUUCCAAUUAACCUAACCACCUAAUCCUUCUGGAGCCUGGGGAAAGUAGAGCCUCAAGCCCAGGGAUUUCUCUACUAGUUGUGUUUGUAAGAGUGGCUUAGCAUCUCUCAGCUGAGGUUCCCUCAUCUGUAAGUGGAAAUGAUGCUUACACCAUAAGGUCAAUAUAAGGAGUAAGUGACAUUUUAUGUAAAAGGGUGAUUUGAAAAUUAGAGGGGCUUGUGUUUUGUUUGUACCCUUUGAUUUUUCCCUUCUCCAAUGCCCCCUAUUUUAGUCCUCUUUCUACAAAUAUUAGCAACAUAAUGUAUAUGCUUCCAGGCUUUUCUUCAAGGAGUUGCCCAUAGAAAAGAUAUCUAUGUGUGUAUAUGUUUUUAUAUGGCUUAAACAAUUUUUUAUGUCAGUAUAUUUAGGUCCACCUCAUUUUAGAAAACUGCAGCAUAUUUUCCACAAAAACUGUGUACAAGAUCCUGCUGUAUAGCACAGGGAAGUAUAUCUAGUUACUUGUGAUGGAACAUGAUGGAGGAUAAUGUGAGAAAAAGAAUAUAUAUGUAUAUAUAUAUAUACACACACACAUAUAUGUAUGUAUCACUGGGUACUUGGUGUACAACAGAAAUUGACAGAACAAUGUAAAUCACCUAUAAUAGAAAAAAUAAAAAUCCUUUAAAAAAAAGGUGUACAAUUAUCUAUUUAGCUAUUCCUGUUUUUAAUGAAUAUUUCUAUUAUUUUGAAUUUCUCACUGGUUUUUCUUCUUGCUUUUUAGGGCCGUACCCACUACAUAUGAAAGUUCCCAAACUCGGGGUCAAAUUGGAGCUACAGCCACCGGCUUACACCACAGCUCACAGCAACGUGGUAUCUUUAACCCACUGAGCUAGGCCAGGGAUCGAACCCACAUCCUCAUGGAUACUAGUCAUUUCCACUGAGCCACAACAGGAACUCCCUUAAUUUCUCACUGUUAAAAAUAACAUUACAUGAAGAAGAUCUUUGUAGGUGCUUCCUUUGGUACAUGGUUUAAGUCUCUCUCUGGGGCAGCUAUUAACAAUAGAACUUCAGGGUGAUGGGUUAUACAAAGUGACUCUUAAGUGGCUGUACUCACACCCAGCUGUGCAUGACUAUAAUUUGAAUUUCCUCCAUUAAAUUGAGGUUAAGCAUCAAUUUAUAUAAAUCUUGACCACUUUUAUUAUUUCUUCUGUGAAUUCCCGGUUUAGACCUUGGUCCAUUUUCAAUAGUAUAUUUUUUUUCUUUCUUUAAAUGAUGUGUUAAUUCUAAUCAUUUGCGUUUUGUUGUUGUUGCUUGUCAAAACCAGAGUUCUAUAGAGACCACUGUUAUCAUUACUCAACACUGAUUCUUCUCAAAGACAGAGAUGCAUUUUGUUUACCUUUGUAACUUCAGCAUAAAGCUAGAACUGCCCUCCAUGAGUGUUAAUGGACUGAAUUAUUGAAAAAGCCAUUUCUGGAGUUUCCGCUGUGCCACAGCAGGAUCAGCAGCAGUGCCAGGAUGCAGGUUUGAUCCCUAACCCAGCACAGUGGGCUAAAAGACACAGCGUUGCCAGAGCUGAUGUAGGCAACAGAUCUGAUGAGAUCACUGCCCUGGAAACUCCACAUGCCAUAGGGCAGCCAAAAAAGGAAAAAAAGAAACAGCCAUUUCUGUCUUUCGGAAAUCAUACAAGUUUUGACAGAAAUCAUCUAAAACAGGACUUGGUUAAGCAGGUUUUGAAGUGCAAAAAGGUCAGACAAGAACCCAAGGUCACACAAAGACAUACUCACUGCAGGAAGCAGCUAUCACCUGGGGGCUGGGGUUAGUGGAACCUGGAGCCAAAGAGGGGCUAGGCUGGUGCUGGUGUCUCUAAAGUGGGUGCCAGGGAAGGAAACCUGGUAACUGGAACUUCAGGCUUCUGGAAUCAACCAUGGCUGCCAAGGUGAAGACUCUGCUGCGGAGACCAUAAGCACUGUAAGAAAGAGCAAGUGCCUUCUCCCCCUCCUGCCCUCCAGCACCCCCUAUGGAAGGACUGAGUAUAGCAGAGGUUGAGCUAAUGGUUUAACUGAAACAUUUCUAAUAAAUCAGGGUAUUUUGCCUAUGGGUGAAGAUGCCAAAGGCUACUCUUUGAUGACUUCCUCCCUCUUUUUACAUUGCCUGAAAAUUAUCAGAGGAAAUGGGAGUGUGGCACGUGAGUAUCAGGGGUCUGAGAUGCUUGGAGCCCUGCCUGUUGGAGGUCACCCCCAUCCAUCCCAGCCUGGCCUUUCUGAGUGGACCUGGCAGAGCACUCCUGCCACUGGCAGCAGGGAAUCACAUGCACAUCCACACCAAGAAAUAUGCUAUCACACUACUGGCCAGGGGCAGGAGAAAUUGGAGAGCACAUAGUCUGUGGCUCAUACCUCAUACCUGGGAUGCUAGAGAGAAGGUGCAGAGAGGUCCUCUACGGCUCUAGGAGGCAGGAGUGCCUGGCACAUCCUGCUGUGAUUUGGGACAAACACCCCACAUUUGCCUCAGUGGAUUUAAUGACAAGGAGAAACAGAGUACUUCCUUAUUCAAAGACACACUGAUUGGGGAGUUCCUGUCGUGACGCAGCAGUCACAAAUCCGACUAGAACCAUGAGUUUGUGGCCUUGCUCCAUGGGUUAAGGAUCCAGCACUGCCGUGAGCUGUGUUGUAGGUCGAAAACUAGGCUCAGAUCUGGUGUGACUGUGGUAUAGGCCAGCAGCUUCAGCUCCAGUUAGACCCCUAUCCUGGGAACCUUCACAUGAUGCAGGUGCAGCCCUAAAAACCAAAAAAAAAAAAGAAAAGAAAUAUUCAUUAUGCUGAGGUAUGAAGACUUUCCUGUUAGUAAGACUGAUUAACUCCCUGACCCAAAUUGAUAUGAUUUGUUUGUGUUUUUCUUUUUAAGCCGGAAUCUAAAUGAAGCUUAUUUUUUGCAUGCCUCUUGAGCUGAUGUUGAAGAGUUAUGACCUAUCUAUCACAUUGCUCCAGACAGGUAGAUGGCAUUGCCACAUGGCUCAGGAGAGGAUAAACUUCUACUACUUCACCAAGAGUAACCAUCUGCAGACACUCAGCUCUGAUUCCCCCAGGAGAAAGGCAAGAGUAGAUGGAGUAGAGGUUAUACUAAUGUCUUAUCUUAGCUGCCAUGCCUUUCCAAAUGCUUUGUCUCUCUUGCUCAUGCCAAGGCAAGAGGCACCCUUCAGCACUGACAUCGGGAGAAUCCACCUGGGGGCUACAGUGAAGGACAGUGCUGACUCCUGUUCCCACUCCAGUUCUCUUUUCAACAUGCCGUUUCCCCUCAGACCACCUGGGAAUAGAAUAUGCUUUCCUGCUGGCCCCUGGCUACCUAGCACCCCUACCUCCAACACCAGCCCCACCUUAAGAUAAGGUCUUCUUCCUGGGCAGAGUUUUAUGCUCCAGACCAUUCCCUCACUCCCAAUGAACUGUAACCAGUUUCCUAUCUCAGUCUACUAGGGCUCUGCUCUCUGUUUCCCAAAGGCUUGACUCGAAAGGCAGGGGAGACAGGAGGCACUGCAACUCCAUGCACAACAAAAAUCAGAGGUGGAGCCCUUCUUUAGAUCAUGGUGAACGCCACCAAAUUCUCUGGACCUACAUAACAAGCCAGCACUGUGAUUACUCCCUAAGUGCAGACAGUGAGUGGAUCACUGAUGGGCAUUGUGCUAUAGCAGCUGGGAGAGGCAGCACCAGGAAUACCUGCGGGCACUAUCAAUCACAAUGGAUGCAAACAAGAAUCAGAGUAC
RNAcentral lists this long non-coding RNA (6773 nucleotides) under Sus scrofa (pig). RNAcentral describes it as "lncRNA (ENSSSCG00015072661.1)". Lineage: Eukaryota; Metazoa; Chordata; Mammalia; Artiodactyla; Suidae. The record is from RNAcentral.